CUAAUCCAGGAGAGAAUAACAAAAAAUAUUUUUGUUUUUCCCUUGUGAAAUAAAUGCUCGAGUUAUCUUGUUACUACCACUUGCUAUAUUAUCUCAAGAGAUGAAUGCUCUAAAAAAAAGAAAUACGAGGAAAUAAAAAGGAGCAAGUGCUUGGAACCUCGAAAGAAAAGAGAGAGUGAGACGAGAGGUAAAAAUGGACAAGUGUCCGACGGUAGAAUUAGGGGUGCAAGAUACCCACCUGAGAGAAAAGAAAAAGAAGAGCAUCUCAUUCUCCUCAUAAAGUUUCAAAAAAAAGCAAGGAAGGUAUGUAUCCCCUCAAAGAGCAAAGUAGAAUUAGACUUCCACCACCAUUGUUUUCACCAUCAUCACCAUACAUCAUUCAUUCGCCAC
RNAcentral lists this long non-coding RNA (390 nucleotides) under Sorghum bicolor (sorghum). RNAcentral describes it as "long non-coding RNA (SBIC_LNC010887)". Lineage: Eukaryota; Viridiplantae; Streptophyta; Magnoliopsida; Poales; Poaceae. The record is from RNAcentral.